Molecule: long non-coding RNA, 1369 nt
Organism: Mustela lutreola (European mink)
Lineage: Eukaryota; Metazoa; Chordata; Mammalia; Carnivora; Mustelidae
Exons: 3
Source: RefSeq, a predicted model, not a curated record
UGUAUCAGCAAACUUUCUGUUUGUCUUGCAUUCUCCAUAGGGCUGAGCCACCUGAGGACAGCACCCUGAGUCCUCCCAGACUCCCAUUCUCCCCAGCAGAGCCAGGGGCCUGGCAUGUAAGAGGUGCUCAGUCACUGGGUCCAGCCACUCGAAGCAGAAGCCAAGGACUUGGUGCCUAGACCUUUGGUUGGGAAAGUAAAGAGUGCCAGAAGCUUCCUGAGGCCAGGACACUUUCUUCCAUCUCCCACUGCCCAAGAGGUUCAAGGAUGACAUCUCCCAUGACUGAAACUCACACACUGGGCUCCAACUUUUGUGAUCAACACUCGAAUACACAAAACUGAUUUCACCUGUGGCCUGUGUGUGACAAUGCUGUCCCCAAGGGCAGGGAGACCUCACUUCCCUCCUUGACUUCAGUGCCUGCCUGAAGACUGCCCAGGACAUAUGAGAGGAGGCUCAUUCUGUCUCCAGAACAUUCCUCAAGAAUGACAGAAAGAGUGCUCCAUCAGAAGAAGAAAGAAAAGGGAGAAGAAAUCCUGGCUCGUUCAUUCAACAAAUAUUUCAUUCAUUUAUUCAUUCAGUUGGUUGGUCGGUCAGUCAGUCAACAAACAUUUACUAUAUACCUUCUCUGUGCCAACCCUGUGGUCGGCCCUGAGUAGGGAAAGAGGCAGACAAGGUCCUGCCUUCAUGGGGUUGACAUUUCUAUAAGAUGAGGGUGAGGGAUACCGUGAACAAGUAAACAAAAAAGAAGAAAGAUCAUUGUGGAGGGACUCACACUAUGAAGAAAAUAGCACAAGAGAUCGGUCUAGAGGUGGGUACUAUGGGGCUGCAUUAGAAAUGGCAGAGGCCUCCGAGCCUCUGGUGGCUGUCUAUAAAAGGACAGUAGUGACAAUUACCUGAGCCGGUGGCUGUGGGCCUCAGGUGGGGCAAUGAAUUCGCCGCCCUGCACAGAGCGGCCUGUGUGACCCCCAUUAUCAGAGGAAAUAGCAAGGCCUGGUUUGAAGGCAGGUCAUGAUCAGCUGCAUGCAGCAUAGCCGUGGGGUCCAGGGGAGGAUGAGGGGACAAUGCCAACUACAGCACAAACCCAGGACCCACACUCAUGUAUGGACCUGCCCUUCCCCAUUCUGCCCCCGCCUCCCCACUCCCACCCUGCCUACCAGAACUCGGCCUGGCUCAGUCUGAGCUAUCCUCUCUCUAAAAACUAAACACUGAAGAGUCUUCUGGUGAGGCGUCCCAGACCACACAGGGCCUGGUACCCAGUGCCCCCACACCUAGCGGCUUUCACCACCCGACCCUGUGCUUUGAAGUGCUCCCAGCUGAUCAGACCUCGCCUGUCCACGAACCCCGGUGCUGGAUCCCACCACACAGCAAG